Molecule: long non-coding RNA, 1047 nt
Filed under: Betta splendens (Siamese fighting fish)
Lineage: Eukaryota; Metazoa; Chordata; Actinopteri; Anabantiformes; Osphronemidae
Description: lncRNA (ENSBSLG00000017689.1)
Source: RNAcentral
ACGAUGGAUGUGAAAACAAUAUCAUCUGUAGGUCUUUUGCUUUGUCAUCUUCUUAUAGGUAAGAAGUACAUAUACAUAUUCACACAUACAUACACUGCAUUUACUUUUUAAGUUCACCUACUCAAAAUUUUAUCAUUUCAGCCGGUGUUUGCCUUGAUUGUGCUUCUGAUGGUAAAAACAACAAAUUUAAUAAUAAAUAAUAAAUUAUGCUUAAAUUUGAUGUUACUUUAUGCAAUAAGCAAGGCACUUUAUUUGUAGAACACAGCAUUAACAUGUUUUGUGUCGGUAAAUGUACAGUACAUGUCUGUUGGACUGUGCUGUUGAACAACUGAAGCAAAAUGAAAAGAAAAUGUUACUGUAAAUGUUUUAUGUUACAUUUUUGUUUUUCCUGUAUAGAUCUGUGUGCAUUGUGCCUAAAACCAGAUCCAUCGUGUCCACAAGUUUGUGUAUCGUGCUUAAAUUUAGCUGUUUCCAUUACAGCUUUUCUAGCAUCUGUUCCAUCAAGCUGCAGAAAAGAAUUCUCUGUGAAUAUCACCAGCUCCAAUUCAAACCCGAAGGAGGGUGACAGCGUCAAUUUAACGUGUGUCAAUAACCUUCCUGAUAAAGAUCUGUCGUUCAGAUGGAGCAAGGAUGGAGUAAAGAAAGGUGGAAACAACAGCAACCUUGUUCUCAAUAAUGUGCUUUCAUCUGCUACUGGCUCGUACAACUGCUCUGUGGACAGCGUGUGUGGCAGUUAUUCUGCCCAGUACUCUCUCACUGUGCCCAACAACAGCGUGAUCAUCCUGGUGGUCUGUGGAGUUGCAGCUUUGGUUCUGGUUCUGAUUAUGGGUCUGGCCAUGAAGUUCAAACUGAAAAGAGACAACGCUAAACACAGAGAGAGGAGGAAGCAGAGGGAACAGAUUGGGCAAAGCGGCGGCCAAGCGCCAUUCACAAUACGACAGACCUAAAUAAGAAGCAAUCACAUCUACAGUUACUUCGUAAUAACAGAGUUGCAUAAUCAGCUGUCAUAGUAUUUGCAAUAGGAAUAAAAUGUCAUUAAUCGCUGCA